GAUGAACGCUGGCGGCGUGCCUAAUACAUGCAAGUCGAGCGAACAGACGAGGAGCUUGCUCCUCUGACGUUAGCGGCGGACGGGUGAGUAACACGUGGAUAACCUACCUAUAAGACUGGGAUAACUUCGGGAAACCGGAGCUAAUACCGGAUAAUAUAUUUAACCGCAUGGUUCAAUAGUGAAAGACGGUUUUGCUGUCACUUAUAGAUGGAUCCGCGCCGCAUUAGCUAGUUGGUAAGGUAACGGCUUACCAAGGCAACGAUGGGUAGCCGACCUGAGAGGGUGAUCGGCCACACUGGAACUGAGACACGGUCCAGACUCCUACGGGAGGCAGCAGUAGGGAAUCUUCCGCAAUGGGCGAAAGCCUGACGGAGCAACGCCGCGUGAGUGAUGAAGGUCUUCGGAUCGUAAAACUCUGUUAUUAGGGAAGAACAAAUGUGUAAGUAACUAUGCACGUCUUGACGGUACCUAAUUAGAAAGCCACGGCUAACUACGUG
This 497-nucleotide ribosomal RNA is filed under the name uncultured bacterium. Its description in RNAcentral is "partial 16S ribosomal RNA". It matches the Rfam family "Bacterial small subunit ribosomal RNA", at positions 28 to 507 of the family's 1533-position model. The record is from RNAcentral.